RNAcentral lists this ribosomal RNA (488 nucleotides) under uncultured Anaeroplasma sp. Its description in RNAcentral is "partial 16S ribosomal RNA". The record is from RNAcentral. Lineage: Bacteria; Bacillati; Mycoplasmatota; Mollicutes; Anaeroplasmatales; Anaeroplasmataceae.
CACGUAGUUAGCCGGAGCUUAUUCCUCAGGUACCGUCAAAUUCCUCUUUCUCCCCUGAUAAAAGAACUUUACAUUACGAAUAACUUCUUCGUUCACGCGGCGUUGCUCGGUCAGGGUUCCCCCCAUUGCCGAAAAUUCCCUACUGCUGCCUCCCGUAGGAGUAUGGACCGUUCUCAGUUCCAUUGUGGCCGUUCAACCUCUCAGUCCGGCUACGCAUCAUCGCCUUGGUAGGCCCUUACCCCACCAACUAGCUAAUGCGCCACAGGCCCCUCCUUAAGCAGAUCUCUCUUUUAAAUAUAAAAGAUUCUUCCUCUAUAUCCUAUCCAGUUUAUCCAUCGUUUCCAAUGGCUAUCCUCGUCUUAAGGGUAGGUUACCUAUGUAUUACUCACCCGUUCGCCACUAAAGUACCCCGAAGGUACUUCCGUUCGACUUGCAUGUAUUAGGCACGCCGCCAGCGUUAAUCCUGAGUCCCAGGAUACAAAACUCCU